RNAcentral lists this ribosomal RNA (373 nucleotides) under Enterobacter sp. FES35. Its description in RNAcentral is "bacterial SSU rRNA". It matches the Rfam family "Bacterial small subunit ribosomal RNA", at positions 979 to 1355 of the family's 1533-position model. Lineage: Bacteria; Pseudomonadati; Pseudomonadota; Gammaproteobacteria; Enterobacterales; Enterobacteriaceae. The record is from RNAcentral.
UCUUGACAUCCAGAGAACUUUCCAGAGAUGGAUUGGUGCCUUCGGGAACUGUGAGACAGGUGCUGCAUGGCUGUCGUCAGCUCGUGUUGUGAAAUGUUGGGUUAAGUCCCGCAACGAGCGCAACCCUUAUCCUUUGUUGCCAGCGGUCCGGCCGGGAACUCAAAGGAGACUGCCAGUGAUAAACUGGAGGAAGGUGGGGAUGACGUCAAGUCAUCAUGGCCCUUACGACCAGGGCUACACACGUGCUACAAUGGCGCAUACUAAGAGAAGCGACCUCGCGAGAGCAAGCGGACCUCAUAAAGUGCGUCGUCCGGAUUGGAGUCUGCAACUCGACUCCAUGAAGUCGGAAUCGCUAGUAAUCGUAGAUCAGAAU